GACGAACGCUGGCGGCGUGCUUAACACAUGCAAGUCGAACGGUGAAGCGCCUUCCUUUUUGGUGGGAGUGGAUGAGUGGCGAACGGGUGAGUAACACGUGAGUAACCUGCCCCCUUCUUCUGGAUAACCGCAUGAAAGUGUGGCUAAUACGGGAUAUUCUGGGUCUGUCGCAUGAUGGGUCUGGGAAAGAUAUUGUUUCGGUGGGGGAUGGGCUCGCGGCCUAUCAGCUUGUUGGUGGGGUGAUGGCCUACCAAGGCGGUGACGGGUAGCCGGCCUGAGAGGGUGGACGGUCACACUGGGACUGAGACACGGCCCAGACUCCUACGGGAGGCAGCAGUGGGGAAUAUUGCACAAUGGGCGCAAGCCUGAUGCAGCGACGCCGCGUGAGGGAUGGAGGCCUUCGGGUUGUGAACCUCUUUCGCCAGUGAAGCAGGCCUGCCUCGUUUGUGGGUGGGUUGACGGUAGCUGGAUAAGAAGCGCCGGCUAACUACGUG
RNAcentral lists this ribosomal RNA (494 nucleotides) under uncultured bacterium. Its description in RNAcentral is "partial 16S ribosomal RNA". It matches the Rfam family "Bacterial small subunit ribosomal RNA", at positions 28 to 507 of the family's 1533-position model. The record is from RNAcentral.